GGGGAAUCUUGCGCAAUGGGCGAAAGCCUGACGCAGCGACGCCGCGUGGGGGAAGAAGGCCUUCGGGUUGUAAACCUCUUUCAGGAGGGACGAAGCCACUCGGGUGAAUAGCCCAGAGGGUGACGGUACCUCCAGAAGAAGCCCCGGCUAACUACGUGCCAGCAGCCGCGGUAAUACGUAGGGGGCGAGCGUUGUCCGGAUUUACUGGGUGUACAGCGCGCGCAGGCGGUCGUGUAUGUGAGCGGUGACAUCCGCGGGCUCAACCCGCGGCGGCCCGCUUACACAGCGCGACUGGAGGCAGGGAGAGGGAUGUGGAAUACCCGGUGGAGCGGUGAAAUGCGUAGAGAUCGGGUGGAACACCAGCGGCGAAGGCGGCAUCCUGGCCCUGUACUGACGCUGAGGCGCGAUAGCGUGGGGAGCAAAC
This 424-nucleotide ribosomal RNA is filed under the name uncultured bacterium. Its description in RNAcentral is "bacterial SSU rRNA". It matches the Rfam family "Bacterial small subunit ribosomal RNA", at positions 356 to 773 of the family's 1533-position model. The record is from RNAcentral.